Molecule: unclassified non-coding RNA, 225 nt
Filed under: plant metagenome
Description: partial contains small subunit ribosomal RNA, internal transcribed spacer 1, and 5.8S ribosomal RNA
Source: RNAcentral
UCUCCGUUGGUGAACCAGCGGAGGGAUCAUUACAGGACUCGCAAGACUCCUACAACCCUGUGAACUUAACUAUAAGCACGUUGCUUCGGCGGGUGUCUCGGAAGGGGUUCUCCCUCCCCGAGACGCUAAACCCGCCCGCAGCCUACUAUACUCUGUCUCUUUGCGUUGGCAUCUCGAGUACAAUCAAACAAGUUAAAACUUUCAACAACGGAUCUCUUGGUUCUG